UACGUAGGGGGCGAGCGUUGUCCGGAUUUAUUGGGCGUAAAGGGCUCGUAGGCGGCCAACUAAGUCAGACGUGAAAUCCCUCGGCUUAACCGGGGAACUGCGUCUGAUACUGGAUGGCUUGAAUCCGGGAGAGGGAUGCGGAAUUCCAGGUGUAGCGGUGAAAUGCGUAGAUAUCUGGAGGAACACCGGUGGCGAAGGCGGCAUCCUGGACCGGCAUUGACGCUGAGGAGCGAAAGCCAGGGGAGCAAACGGG
Molecule: ribosomal RNA, 253 nt
Filed under: uncultured bacterium
Lineage: Bacteria
Description: partial 16S ribosomal RNA
Rfam family: Bacterial small subunit ribosomal RNA
Source: RNAcentral